CAACGUUGGUCUCAAAGUCCACUGUUAGCUAGCUGUGUUGUUCACAGAGUGGUUGCAACACUCCAGCACAUAGCCGCAGCCCUCGCUGUGGCACCUGCACCGAGUCAAGGAGUAUUCCUGGUGUGAGGAGGGGAGGCUCAUUCGCCGCUGCCAGCUCUGAGAUUAUUAUCAUUAAGAGGAGGCAAAUAAAAUGACACGUGACGACUCCGCAUGAUUAUUGGCGCAAUCACUCAUGUAACAGCCUGCCCAGCUUUCCGUGGGGGCUCCAGUAUUUGUCACUGUCACUUCCCCAAGUGCUCCGCCAUUGUCUUGGAAAUUGUAUGUGUAAGGCAAGAGAUGCCUGUGACCCACUUCGACAAGGGAGCCAGCGAUGUGAGGGCGCUCAUCACACAAAAAAACAGCAGUUUGAUGUGUCCUAUUAUGUGU
Epinephelus fuscoguttatus (brown-marbled grouper) is the source of this 426-nucleotide long non-coding RNA. RefSeq lists it as uncharacterized. The record is from RefSeq and is a predicted model, not a curated record. NCBI's taxonomy places the organism in Eukaryota, Metazoa, Chordata, Actinopteri, Perciformes, Serranidae. The transcript is spliced from 3 exons.